GACUCUCGGCAACGGAUAUCUCGGCUCUCGCAUCGAUGAAGAACGUAGCGAAAUGCGAUACUUGGUGUGAAUUGCAGAAUCCCGUGAACCAUCGAGUCUUUGAACGCAAGUUGCGCCCCAAGCCACUCGAAUUUAACCUAUAUUGUAGUAAACAUAUAACUGUUUUA
This 167-nucleotide ribosomal RNA is filed under the name Gossypium arboreum. Its description in RNAcentral is "5.8S ribosomal RNA". The stretch from base 1 to 136 matches the Rfam family "5.8S ribosomal RNA". Rfam says of the family: 5.8S ribosomal RNA (5.8S rRNA) is a component of the large subunit of the eukaryotic ribosome. It is transcribed by RNA polymerase I as part of the 45S precursor that also contains 18S and 28S rRNA. Lineage: Eukaryota; Viridiplantae; Streptophyta; Magnoliopsida; Malvales; Malvaceae. The record is from Rfam by way of RNAcentral.